CCUACGGGAGGCAGCAGUGGGGAAUAUUGGACAAUGGGCGAAAGCCUGAUCCAGCAAUGCCGCGUGAGUGAUGAAGGCCUUAGGGUUGUAAAGCUCUUUUACCAGGGAUGAUAAUGACAGUACCUGGAGAAUAAGCUCCGGCUAACUCCGUGCCAGCAGCCGCGGUAAUACGGAGGGAGCUAGCGUUGUUCGGAAUUACUGGGCGUAAAGCGUACGUAGGCGGUUAUUCAAGUCAGAGGUGAAAGCCCGGGGCUCAACCCCGGAACUGCCUUUGAAACUAGAUAGCUAGAAUCUUGGAGAGGUUAGUGGAAUUCCGAGUGUAGAGGUGAAAUUCGUAGAUAUUCGGAAGAACACCAGUGGCGAAGGCGACUAACUGGACAAGUAUUGACGCUGAGGUACGAAAGCGUGGGGAGCAAACAGGAUUAGAUACCCUGGUAGUCCACGCCGUAAACGAUGAUAACUAGCUGUUCGGGCACUUGGUGCCCUGAGUGGCGCNGCUACGACAUUAAGUUAUUACCGUCCGUCGGGAGGUACGGUCGGCGAGAGUAAACUAACGAAAGAAGUAGACGGCGUGNGAGUUGUCGACGGACGACGACGAGGGAGGAGG
Molecule: ribosomal RNA, 607 nt
Filed under: uncultured bacterium
Lineage: Bacteria
Description: bacterial SSU rRNA
Rfam family: Bacterial small subunit ribosomal RNA (bases 1-521)
Source: RNAcentral